UAGUUUAAGGAAGUAAUCUUAAAUGUAUUCUGCCCAAUGGAUUUUUUAAAUGGCCGCAGUACCUUGACUGUGCUAAGGUAGCAUAAUCAAUUGGCUUCUAAUUAAAGUCUGGAAUGAAAGGAAAAAUGAAGUAAUUCUGUCUUAAAAAAUUUUUUUUUAAUUUAUUUAAAUGAUGAAAAUAUCAUUUUUUAGAAAAAAGACGAGAAGACCCUUAGAGUUUUUAUUAUUUUUUUUUGUUGGGGCGACAAGUAAACAAUUUAAACUUUACUAAUUUUUUUUAAUCGAUUUAAUAAUAAGAUAAAUUAAACUACCUUAGGGAUAACAGCAUUAUAUUAUAUAUGAUUGUGACCUCGAUGUUGGACUAGGAACUUUAUGGCUAGCCGUCAUAAAAGAUUUGUUCUGUUCGACCAAUUUUAUCCUAC
Molecule: ribosomal RNA, 422 nt
Filed under: Biomphalaria sp. CJS-2010
Lineage: Eukaryota; Metazoa; Mollusca; Gastropoda; Planorbidae
Description: partial 16S ribosomal RNA
Source: RNAcentral